Hypoxylon fragiforme is the source of this 109-nucleotide non-coding RNA. NCBI's taxonomy places the organism in Eukaryota, Fungi, Ascomycota, Sordariomycetes, Xylariales, Hypoxylaceae. The record is from the annotation of a RefSeq genome assembly.
GGAAGGAUGGCCGAGUGGUUAUGGCGCUGCGUUCAGGUUAACCUGGAUUUCCAACAUGAGAAGUUUCGCAGUGGAGCAAUCCGCGUGGGUUCGAGUCCCACUCCUUUCA